UUUAACGCUUAAUCCUUUUAUUGUGAAAGGAACGGAGGAAAUCAAAGUAACUGGGGUGAAUCCUUUUUAAAGGUAGGGCUACCCUGGCCCGAAUCCGUCAGCUAACUUCGUAGGCGUGGAAGGGGAA
This 127-nucleotide small RNA is filed under the name Anaerosalibacter massiliensis. RNAcentral describes it as "ydaO/yuaA leader". It matches the Rfam family "c-di-AMP riboswitch aptamer (ydaO/yuaA leader)". Rfam says of the family: This family represents a conserved RNA structure found upstream of the ydaO and yuaA genes in Bacillus subtilis and related genes in other bacteria. The ydaO/yuaA element is thought to act as a genetic "off" switch for the ydaO and yuaA genes in its native state. The record is from RNAcentral. Lineage: Bacteria; Bacillati; Bacillota; Tissierellia; Tissierellales; Sporanaerobacteraceae.